GAGCGGACUGAGCUGUCGUACUGAGGCUCCCCUUGGUCUGUUUCCACGGAUUAGAUCCUGCCACUGCUAACAGGGGGUCAGGCAGCAUCUCCUUGACUUUCACUGCAAGAUCUGGCAACUUCCAAAGAAACUUUCCCCAGCUCACCACUGUUAGAUGAUGGGGCUGCAGUGCUAACAAUUCCAACCAUUUAUUUGGGCAUAUGAAUUACACCAGUGUACCAUUGACCAAGCUGGAACUAAUACUGAAUUCAAAAGCGUAAAAGGCAGCUCUUACUUUCUCCCUUUAUGGAGAGCAACUUAGCAGUUUGCAAAGCAUUUUGUUCAUUGAUGUCUGUGUCCAGGUUUGUGUCAGCAUUGCCACGGCUGGCUGCAGGUCUGGGUGAGCUCACGUGCUGCUCCAGGGCUCUUAUUCUUCUUUGAAGCUAAGCUUGUUCUUCACCUUCUGAGCCAUGUAAGCAGCUGUGAGGACAGAGCAGGUCACAGUGAAGACACAAAGGGUGGAGAAGUUGUGUGCCAAAUCACCCUGAAGCAUAGAAUAGAUCUGCCUCCUGGACUCAUAGUCCAACACCACCGCCUCAAUCUGUGCCAGCGUGCAGAGCACCAAGCACACGUGAAAGAUCUGAUGGCUCUGCCCAAAGAAGUGACAUUUCCCAGGGAACCACUUCUCGGGGUAAGGAUGUGAGAAAAAAAAGGCACCAACAAGGAAAAACAGCACCUGACACUUGUGAUACAGAAGGGCUGGGUCAGCCUGUUCAGAGGGCGGCGCGGUGAAGAUGCGGUGCACCACGGGGCUGAUGUCCAGCACGUACGCCAGACUUGAGGGCAGCUCCUGGCAGAGACGGCUCAGCAGGCAAGGGGACUGGUGGUACUGGUACUUGGCAUAGCAGGAACCAGCACAGGACAGCCAUGCUAACAAGACAGCCAUCGGCAUGUAAAAGCCCUUGAUCUUCUCGUGCCAGCUUGGCUCAGUGGUGUAGUAGUAGUGCCCUAGAGCACUGCCGUACUGGUAAAUGGCAACCCCCACGUAGUCCAUGAAGAAGAAACUGUAGUGACAGAACUCGGAUUUGGCCUGCAGAAGGUGGGCAAGGCUGCUGAAUGUCAGGUAGGUGAUGGAUGCCACAUUAAUGAUGAGGAGGGGUUGGGCAUGCAAGUCCUGCCCAAAAUCUACCCGCUGUGAGAGCUGCUGGAAUCGCAGCAGCAGGAUCAGUGCUGCCACCAGAUGGGUCCAGACAUUGAUGGCCUCAUUGUGCUGCUGGAAGAGUGUAGAGAAGUAAUAACGCCAGGUCUGCUGUACCGGCCGGUAGCCACUGUCGAUGUAGGGCUUCCAGAAGACUUUUGGCACCUCAGAACUGCUGACAGUGGAGGGAGAGAGGGGGGCCAGCAGCUGAGGGACCUGCCAUACGUAAAUGAAGAGGCGGCUAAGCUUUUCAAUGACAACCGUUGCCAUGAUGCAGCCAAACUCUGGCUCCCACAGUGCAAAACAACCUUUGGAACAGAAAGAAAGUGACUUUACAAAAAAAAAAAAACCCAAAACAACCCACCAACAAGCAAAGGCCAUUUGAAUGCUUUGUCUUUUUUUUUUUCCACAGAUGUGUAAAAUCAUGUAUGACAGGACAAUGGUUUCAUUAUAGCUGAAGUAAAAGAAUCACCAAAAACAGUAAUAGGAAGAGUGUCCCAUGUUGCUUGGCUGUAAUUAACACACCAGGACGCAUCAGUUCCUAGCCUAUCCCUUCCCAGAAAUUUGGGAACUGCAACACAAACUAAACUUCCUAGACUUCCUGCUCCAGGAAUGGCUGAUUUUUCCAUCUUGUAAACUGUUUGCAGCAUCUGGCUUUACAAACAAGCAGCAGCUGUGGCCCCACAAGAAGUGGGCAACCUGUUCUGCCUCACAAGAGGCACAUCUGAGAACAGAAAUAACCGUAAUGCCAAGAACAGCAGCUGUAACUUCUGCAUUUAGAGUUUUUACCAUCUUUUUUCAGCUUCUGAUUUUCUGUGCAGCUUUGCAGAAAACUGAUGCAGCUCAAGUGAGUUCGCCCUGUUGCAUCACUACUGUCCAGCAGUCUACUCUGUGAGCAAGCAUUUCCAUAUUUACAUUUUUGGAGCUGCUGUCCUUUGCACAGCAGCCUUAGAAACACACGCACCAGAAUGCAUUUGAAAUGAGAUUUCCCUCCCUAAAGAGGUAGGUAAAGACCUGCUCUUGCUUAGACAAGUUCUGAAGAAAACAGCUUGACUCCCCUCCAGCUUCAGUGCUCUGGGACAGCUCAGACAGGAAAAGCUCUUCAAAGUCUGGAAACAGGAGGAGGAGAGGAUGGGACAGUUUCUUUUUAAAACCUCACUAACAUGCUCCUCAAAAUGGAGUAGAUAGUCUGUAACGCAUACCUGCCUAAAGCAGAGGAGCACAGAUGCAGAUAAAACCAGGCUGGCUGCUUGUCAGCUUCCCUCCUGAACACCCUUUUCCCAUUGCACCUGGUUGAAGAGGCUCUGUGUCAAAAAGGAUGAGCCUGGCUCAGGCUGGUAGCUCGCAGAGGGCGAUCCUGACCUGUGCCUGGCCCCCUAAACCCUCCUGCAGCAUGUGCAGGCAGCCAGUGAAAAAUUAACUCCAUAAACCUCUUCUGGACUUGCCGCUACCGCACUGAAGUGAAACAGCCUGGAGUCCUGCUGGGCAAAAGCAGAACUUCACAGACUUAGCUAUUUUGACUGAAAUUCAAUGAGCAGUUUGUAAGAAAACGCUGCCCUUCCGCCACCCGGAGAACUUGCCUCUGUGCUGGGGCUGCCGCUGCCCACGAGGAUGCUGAGGACGCAGAGAGGGGGCUCAGCUCCGGACCGUGCCUGACCCCGUCACAGCCACCAGAAAACAAAUUCCUCCGGGAAAGGCCCCCCUGGCUCUGCGCGGGGAGGCGUGGCGGGAAAAGCUGCACCCGCAGCCAAGCACGGGGCAGGAAAGGGAGCAGUGUUUACUUUGGGUCUUCCAAAACUUGUUGGAGCAGGAUUUAAUUUGAAAGCUCUUCCAAGCAAUGAAGCCUUGAGCAAUACUCAGUUAUGAACAGAGCACAUCCUGUGCAGCGCUGGAAGUCGCUCAUCUGGCCUGUACCCCGAAUAAUAACCUCCACAUACCUACAAGACAUCAACAAGGUUGCCUCACAGUCCAGUUAUUUCCUUCCUCAAGCAGCAUCUAUCCUGCUGAAUUUUCUCUUCCUGACUGCUGACCUGCACGUUGCCUCUGUGCACACGCGAUUUUACCUCCGAAAGGACAAAGAGCCCCCAUCUCAUCCCCACCCCUCAGAACCACCACCCGCGGCAGCUCGGAGGCCUCAGACCACGCUUAGAGCCCGGCACCAAUCUCCUGGUGAGCGUCAUAUAAAGCAGAACCAAGACAAGGGAACAGAAGGCUCCGAGUCGAGAUCUGACAGCUUUGGCAAGUCACAAACCUCCCAGCUUCCAUCUCUGAACGCCAUUUGGGAGCUGGCAGUGUUGUCAUCCUCCUCCCCCAGCCCUUGCAAAGAUGGAGGAAAAUCCACAUGCAAAAUUUGGGACACUUGGUGUCUUCUCAGCAGGGUAAAGAAAAACCACAUUAAAUUACAGAACUGGGAUUUCUUUGAUUGCAAAUUAUACCUGACCUUGCGCAUGGGAGCUGAUCGGGAAUUACUCAAACCCCCAUUAGAGGUGGAUUGUGACCUGUCUCCGUGUGCUUAGCUCACAUGUUGCGAAGUGCCCGCAGCAGCCCCGACCUGCACUGUGCCCCUGCUGCUGGUGGAUGGCCACUCCCAAAAGCUGAAGCCAGAUGCUGCACACCACGACAAGGAGCAUGCACGCUGCCCAGCACCUCUUGUUAAAAAGGUUCCAUGCUACAGUCACCUGAGUUACACCAAGAGUCAGUAUGCACAAAAGGCAGAUGGCCGAAGAACAGCACAAAUCUGCUGCAAGGUAAUCCAAGCACAUCGGCCUCUGUACCCUAAACACCAAAGAAAGGGCUUCUCCAAGGAGACCCACCCUUGUUGUGCACACUCUUAAAACCAAGGAUUUUGCACCUAAGGAAAAAAAAUAAUCCUACCUUGAGGAAGGUUAAUAUUGUGACAGAAUUGCAUAAAGCUUUCAAAACAGAUUAUUUUAAACACUUGCUCUGUUUUUUGCUGAUCUGACGUCUAUUUCCAUGGAAACCACAUCUAGCCACAGAACUGCUAGAACUGGGAGAGGUUUCUGCCGGAGUGGCUUGCUGGGUAUGAGAAGAGCCGUUUUCCAGCAGUGUGGUAGAACCGUUUUGUGAGCUUGAAGAGAUUUCAGAUUCAAAAUGGUCUGUUUGCUUGGUCCUUCAGGGUCUUACCCAGUACACUCAGGGGAUUCCUGGCUCAGUACCAGUGGUAUAUGCAGAUGUCACAUACAACACACAUGUUUUUAAAUGAAACAUCUUCAGUGCUUGGAUUGAAUUGCUUCAUCUUGCUGGAAGACAAAGCAGCCAAAAACUGUGGCACUAGCCCAUGUUUUACUUUAUCAUUUAUUAAUUAUCAUCUGUGUAGAUCAACAGUGUGUUGGAUGCUUUAAUAUAAUGCUUUUUAGUAAAAUCAAUGAUCUUAUCCUGGGAUGAUCUCAGGAUUUCCCAGAGAAAACAAGACUUCAUGGGCUCAGGGUUUUUUCUUCAGCACCUGUGUGACUGACUUUAGUCAGUCCUCAGCCCCUGGUGAGAUGAUGAUGAUGGACUAUAAUUUACCACUUUUGAAGAAGGAAUGCAGACUGAGAUAAAACUAUGAGUCACGCAGGGUCUGUUCUCAGGGCUGUCCAUUCUAUUUGCUGGGAUUCUCACGGGGAAAAAAACAAAAAAAAAUCAAAAGACCUGAAUGUAAUUUACCUUUCUUCGCAGAUCAGCUUUAAAACCAAAAACGUUUCUUUCAGAUAAGAACUCUCCCGUGGAGAAGGCAACAUGAUUUAUUGAUGCAAGGCACAGAACUGGGAAUCAGAUUUGGGAUCUAUUCUCUGCUCUGGCAUUUUCCAUCGCUUGUCACUUUGAGACUCUUUAGCAACCCUUUUACAAUACCUGCUACAACUGGUUUCAAUUUAUUCUGAAAUGUGUAUUAUUGCAAUACAAAGAGAAAUAACAGCUCUCAGCAGCUGGAAAGGCACGGAGACGGUCUCAUUUUUGGCCUCAUUGCAAGAGUGGUUUUAUUUUGGGAACAUUUCAUAAAACCCAGUUGUUUAUGUGGCAUUUAUUUUUGUCUGAUCUCAAGCAGGAUGGAGUAUAUGAAAAGCUUUUAUUUAAUUUAGAUUUGAUUUGUGUUUAUUGACACAUUUACUGUGAUUCUAAACAGACUCCCUUCAUCAAGCCUAGAAGCAUGUGGGUGUGAUAGGUUUUGUCUACUGGAUUCCUUAUCACCAACAAAAGCUUUUUGCUAUAGAUCCAUUUUUAAAAAAAAAAAAAAAAAAAAAAAAAAGAGAGCAAGCAGCAGCACAAGAAAUCUUCUCCAACAUGUCAAUAUUUAGCCACAAAACAAGGUUUGAGAAGGAAGAUACUACCUCAAUCCCAAAUCUAACCACAUCAGCCAGAUGAAUUUGUGCAUCUUGAGGAAAAUAAGGGACCACGGUAGAACUUGCAGAAGAUAUUCCUGGAGGACAUGAGGACAAAGGCUCUGUAAGUUAGGAAAAUGAGCUACUCCCUGGGUCAGUGGCUACAAUUUUCCGAGCCGAUGAUAACUGCACCCACUAAAAAUUGUUGCCCUCAUGCAACUCUCCCAGUCGUGGUCUCAUCAGGAGGACUCCUCGCAUGGGUGGAUUUAGGAUGUGACAUGAUCAGAUUUAGCAUAAAGAUGAAAGCGUCUCCUCUGAUGUGCUUAUCAAAACAUCCCACAAAGAGACUGACAUAAUUAGGUGACAACUCAGCCCACGGCAGCUUUUUUACUUGCAAAAAUAUUUAAUCUCCAAUAAGAAAAUGUGCUUUCUGAGUAUAAAAUUGCUACCCUUAAGCAUUUGUGGAGGAUGGACUGACAGAUUAUCUGUUAAACAGAGAAAGUUUGAAGGCACUGUGGUAUUAUCAGCAACCAUUUGCUAAGACUCGUAACAGACACUGCAUUAGCGAAGUUCACUUUAAAGCUAGAAAUGCAGUGUACUGUUUGACCUCAGCCAGUCCAUUUAAGUGAUUUAAUAAAUAACCUGCCAGAAAAGACAGUAAUUUGAAAGAAACUUGUUCUCAGAGGGGCUACAAGAUGUCUUUCUAUCUGUGUUCCUCAGUCUUUGUAUUAACCCUCAGAAGUUUCUCCUUCAUGCUGCAGCUUACCCGUCUUCAUGCUGGCUGUGCUGAUGUGCUGCUGCCCAACAAAGGUCUCGCAAGGAAAGACCGUGGCUGCAAAGGUCUUGCUGAUCUUCAGAUAAAAAGACAUUUUAAUCCAAAUACAGAUGAGCAGCCCAAGACUUUCAGAGAGUGUCUCCCUCAGAGUGAAAGCUCUUCCACAGGCAAGAAUAUUUAAGGUGAUUGAUACUUGUUUUCUGUAGGUGUUUAGAUUCUGUGAUUCUGUGAUUAGGCUGAUACUACAUUUAAGAAAAUGUUCCCUUUGGAACAAAUUUGCAGUUGACAAUGUGUUGUUGGAUUUAGGGUUUUUUGUUAAUCAGACAGGGCCUCUGGCUUCCAUUGCUGAUUUGGUUUUGAGAAAUUCACUUGAACUCCAUAAAAAGAGACAAGUAAAUCACAGAUGGUGAUUACGCCUGCAGCAAGAGAGAGGAAAAUUUUCAUUAAUUGCUUUGAUUUUGGGGCAAUAUAACCCUGAAAUGUCAUACCUCUUCAGCUGCAUUCAUAGGACAGCGUUGCAUGAUGUCCAAACACUAUCAUGUUGAGGGAUGACAAGAAAAAUUAUGUAAACUUCUCAUGAGCUGAAGACAAAGGCCCUGCAAGCACUCUGCUGUCCUUGCCAAAAAUUCUCCCAACACCCUGAAAUGGCGACAGACCCUCAAGGAACAGCAGCAGCUGCAGUACCUGCACAUAGGCACCUUCAUCUUGGCUGCAGACAGGACACUGAACCAGAUCUAGUGUGCCUUAGGUCCAGCCAGGGCAAAGGAACAGCAGAAUUCCCUUCCCAGCCUGCUGGUAGACCUUCUGACACCUGUUUCCUAAGCAAAUGAGGCUUUAUGUGAUCAAACUAUUUCUGUAUGUCUGACCAAGCUUCUCUUCCAGCUUUGUGAGCUAGUUACUCUCUGUCUCUCUGAUAAAUAUGGAUAAGAGCUCAGUGACAUGAAUUCCAAAACUUUUUUGAAAACAGAUGGCUGGGGAGAGACAAGAGUGAGCAAAAGGCUUCAGCACAAGCCCAACUAUUAUUAGAGACCCAGAGACUUUAUGCUGAGGAGACCUAUCACAGACACUCCCAACAGCGGGUGUAAAUUCUGAUGGUUGUUUUCUUCGUGGCACCAGCAGAGCAGUUGUGCUCUCCUGGCAGCUCCCUGACAGAUAUAGGGACAGAUCUAUGCGGAUGCUGGCUCCCAUCUCCGCUAUGUCCAGACACAUGCACAGUGACCUGUCCUUGAGAUCACUUUCCAUUCUUCCCCCGCUCCUUGCUCCCAUAGCUCCCAACUGAGCCAGCAGCCUUGACCCAUUUCUCUGCAUCCUCACUGCAUUUCCUUUUCUGCUCCCAAACAGAGCCCUCAAAUUUGCAUUUCCCAUAUGGAGCACCAAGAGCUUUGCUAUUCACAGCAGCCCGUAAACAACUCGCUGCUGAAGGUUCAAAAAUAACUGCGCUUCGCAGAGCUGCAUCGCCCAGCGACAGCAAGUGGCUGGGAGAGAAGCACUAAGAAAGGGUUUAUGGGGUUUUAAUUUGUGUGUGAGCCAACAGGAGAUGUACUAAUUAGAUUUCCAAAGUGUCAGAGUCAGCCAUUUCAGCUGGGAAGCAGCAAAGGAGGCAAUGUAAUUUUGACAACCACAUGGAAUAGCAAUGGAUAGAGAAGACAUAAAAUAUUCAAGAGCCGUGGAAGAUUCCAGUAAAGACAUUUGCUUUGGCUCUUUGUAAAUGAAGUGGGGAAAAAGAAAAGCUGGGUAUAGCACUAAUUAUUCCUCAGUUCUUAAUUAGUUCCUUGAAUUUAAAAUAUGGAUUCAGCUCUACCAGCAGCUCAGCAAACCUAUUGUGCUAUUAAGACCUUCCUGGCCUGACAGAGUUAAAAAUACUUCCACUCUUUCAAGACAAAAAUGUAGCUUAAAGUGUCACGAUGGGAGGAGUUCAGGGAUGGAAAUCCUCUUAAAGGAAUACAACUUCCCUGAUGUCAAAUAAAUAAUAUAAAUGAGCUUGUAAGAGCCCCCAAACUGAGCCUUUUCCCACUAAAUUUAAAAAUAAUACCCAGUGCAGAGCUCUCGGGCCGCUUGCUGUCAAAGCAGGUUCACUAACAGCAUCGGUGUGCAACCAAAUGGUAACAGGUUUUACUUAUUUCUCACAGAGAUCCGCUGCCUGGGGAGUGGGAGCAUUCACCAUCCUCAAGUGUAUUCAGAUCAAAAGGUGGAAUUCUAAUGUGUUCUCCCCCUCCUGGCACGCAACCCCACACUCAGGUGAUGCAGGAGAUCCCAACCUGCCCGGUGCAGUAGCUACAACUCAUUUUUCCAGGACAAUAUCUCCAACUGUUCUUUACGGACGAGAUCUGUCAGACACCAUAGGCAGCAUAAAACCUGUGUCUUCCUACAGGACCUGUGAGCCAAGGAAACAAGUCUGGGGUUUUUUUUAGGACACCUUUCAGUUCAACGAGGAGGUCCAGAGAUAUGCCUUCACACUUGAGAGCCUCUCAGGCAGUUUUCCUCCCACCUCCACCGACAAUUCAGCAUCAAAAUGGGUUAAUUCCUGCUCUCCUCCCCCUGCCCCACCCACUGCCUGUAACCACUCAGCAAUACCAGCAUGGAGACAAUACUUGUACUUCACCUUUGUUUCAUCCCUUUCCCCCUACUAAUUUGAGUUCAUACUAGAUCAAUACAUACAUUAAAAGAAAAAAAGACCAGACACAUCCACUGCAGCUGUGGAAACGAAACGGGCAAACAAAAGCAGCCUUUCUGGAGGGAAACACAUCUGUCUUUUAUGCAAUAAACCAGCAAAACUGCUGCCCUGUGCUAAA
This is a long non-coding RNA of Colius striatus (speckled mousebird), 9063 nucleotides long. RefSeq lists it as uncharacterized. The transcript is spliced from 6 exons. The record is from RefSeq and is a predicted model, not a curated record. Lineage: Eukaryota; Metazoa; Chordata; Aves; Coliiformes; Coliidae.